Long non-coding RNA from Oncorhynchus tshawytscha (Chinook salmon), 371 nucleotides. Lineage: Eukaryota; Metazoa; Chordata; Actinopteri; Salmoniformes; Salmonidae. The record is from Ensembl.
GGGGGGGACAUCAGACUGCCUCUCAGUGGGGGGACAUCAGACUGCCUCUCAGUGGGGGGACAUCAGACUGAUGGAAGGACUGUCUCUCAGUGGGGGGACAUCAGACUGAUGGAAGGACUGACUGUCUCUCAGUGGGGGACAUCAGAGUGAUGGAAGGACUGCCUCUCAGUGGGGGGACAUCAGAGUGAUGGAAGGACUGCCUCUCAUGGGGGACAUCAGACUGAUGGAAGGACAGUCUCUCAGUGGGGGGACAUCAGACUGCCUCUCAGUGGGGGGACAUCAGACUGAUGGAAGGACAGUCUCUCAGUGGGGGGACAUCAGACUGAUGGAAGGACAGUCUCUCAUGGGGGGGACAUCAGACUGCCUCUCAG